This 2368-nucleotide long non-coding RNA is filed under the name Gallus gallus (chicken). RNAcentral's name for it is "lncRNA (ENSGALG00010018408.1)". Lineage: Eukaryota; Metazoa; Chordata; Aves; Galliformes; Phasianidae. The record is from RNAcentral.
AUAUUUAGUUCUCUGACUUUAUUACCAAUUCCAUGGAGCACAAUGUUUUUCUUCAAAUCAUUAUGAGGAUUAUACUCAGUCUGAGAAUUUGACACCUGCUGUUUCAAAACUUGAUCACAAACAUUUCAGGAUAUAUAUCAGUUAGUACAGAAGAGAUGAAUAAGAUUCAGACUGCAAUAACGUAGGAAGAUUAAAAAAAGUCAAAAUAAAUAUUAUUCCCAGUAAGUAAAAUAAGUCGAAACAGUUAUCCAGAAUCUGGAGUGAAUAUGUUACGUGUGUUUAAAUUAGUAUUAUCAAAUAUACAACAGAGUGCUAAAAAAAAAAAAAAAAAAAAACCCACAACAAAAAACAAGACUCCUACUAGCAGAGGAAGUAAUAUUGUUUGAAUCCCUUAACAAACUGUCAGUACGAAAGCAGCAAGACUACAGGAUACAGCUGAUGGUUAGAUGGUUAAGCUCACAACACCAGAAAUGCUUGAAUGAGAAAGAAUGGAACAUCAUUAGAUGAUAAUGGCAGCAACAUUUUCAGUUACUGUAUUAUACAACUGAAAAUCUAUUUGGAUUUAACAAGUUAGGAUUCAACUCUGUCAGACUUGGCAUAGUAUAGUACAGACCUGAACAUAACCACAAAAACAGAACCUUCUCUUAUGUUUACAUAAAUAAUGUGAUUAUUUCUGACAGUCUGUGAUACCUACACAGCCAUGUAUGUCACAGAUAGAAAAGUUGGAAGAAACAAUAGGAAUCCCUGUAAAGAUAAGAAACAGAUUGAGGCACGGCUAAUGAUGAAGGGAAUAAUCAUGCUUUGGUCCUUUGAUAGGACCAGGUAGCUAUCACAUAACAUAGCCCAUAAAGGUGUUUACAGUUCCAGUAACCGUAAGUGUUGAAACCAUCAGACACCUUCUCCCUCACCUGCAACUCUGAAUUAUUCCAAAGACAGGAAGAAUGGCACACAGCAAACAUGGGCAAGAAAGUAAUCCAGGGCAUAAAAGUUCUUGAGUUCACCAAGUGAGAAGAAAAAAUAUAAAUAUAUUGAACAAGGAAUAGAAGUUUGAUCCUCCUCCAGCACCAAUGAAUCUCAAAUCUGUGGCAGAAUCAGAGGAAGACUGGGAUGAUCUCUACCACUCCCAAAACAGCAUUUAUGAAGAACAAAUGUACAUCCUGUGGUGCUGCUUUCUAGUGUUUAAAAAAAAAAAAAAAAAAGAAAGAAAGAAAAAUGUAUCUAGUAUAGUGCCAAAAACAUGUUUCAUGCAAGAGAUGGGAUGUGACAAAAAGGAAAGGGUGUCUGAAUCACCCCACAGUUUCAACUUGGAAAAAAAAAUCUGGCCAUUACCAGAUGGCUAAGGAAGACAAAGAGCAGGGCAAGCAUGCAUACGCAAUACCAUCCCAGACACCAACUGUUUGCAGCAUGGGGACUUCCAAAGCUGGAUGUGGUUUCUACACAUUUAAAAAACUUCAAAGGAUUUCUUUUCCUUAAGCUUGUCCAGUCUCUCUGGAAUCCAUCUCAACUUUUACCAUUCAGGAAAAGAAAUAGGGAAUGAAGGACAACUGUUCAUAUGCCUUAAACUGAGGUGAAGGAGGUGAAUGAGGAUCUGGGUUUAACUGCACAUUCUUCCUCUGGUUCAACCUAUAGUUCUGGCAAUGACAUUCAAAUUCACCUCACCAGUAUGAGAACUGCAGUAAACUUUUACUCCAUUUAUAGCACACUGGAGACAGAAGACUGUUGUCAAAACUGGUUUGGACCUUGAAGAGAAUUAAUACAAGUCAUGAAUUGCCAAACGACCCUUAGGAGAAUCCUCAGAUGUUCUCCCCCAUUUCCUUACACUUAGAGUGCCUAUCACAUAGGGAUCUAUAAAGGACACAAACUUUACUCUCCUUUCAGCUUUGUGCUGAAAUCACUGAGCCAGCAUGCACUGGCAAUCUGUGAUUCAGGGAAUUUGGAGGAGGAAAAAAAAAGAAAAAAUAGACUGGGGAAACAGAAAGUCUCAGAAGAUCUCUAGUUAAGGGCAAGAGAAGAAAGAACUUCCAAGCGAACAGUCCAAUUACUUCCAACAGUCCAUUACUUCCAAGGAAGUAAUGACAGUCACCUCAAGGCUGAGGACAGGCCACAUUAUCUCAGUCCCUCUCUACAGCACCAACAUGGUUCCCCAUACUUCUCUUCACAGUACAUAUCACCACACCAAACAGCGUGGGUAACAGGAACAUGAACGAAAGAGAUGCAGUAAUGAGAGUGUGUUUCUCCACAACUAAAAAUGGAGGAGAAAGUUUUCAGUAAUAUUGCUGCUAUUCUUCUUGUAUAUUUAGGUGUAUCAUCUGCCUAGAUGAUUUAGAUAUAGAUCAAUUGCAUGCUAGUACUAGGUGCCUUGGAAGGG